AUGGAUGGCUACGGGAUUCCCGCUUCUGGCCUGAGACCACCCCGACGUUUCGAUGAUGCAUCCUCUGAAUCGGAAGAAGAGGAGGGGAUCUGUUACCCUGCUGGAGGUGGCAUUGCAGAGUCAGAAUCAGAUGAAGAAGAUCAGAACCAGCGCAAUGGGAAAGCACCUGCAAUCAGCUCGAGGUGCAGUGUUAAGAAGCUGCACGGUUUGCUAGCAUCUCUUGACGAGGAAAUAAGACAAUAUGUCGCCGACAUGGAUUUCGGGGGGCUGCUAGAUCUACCAAACAUAACCAGGACGGAUAGGCAUUUCUUAAUGUCUAUUCUAGGUCAUAUAGACGAGGAAGCAAGUUCUAUCAUGAUCGAUCCCAAGCGCGACGUGCAGUUCUAUGACGAAGAUGUUCAUACUGUCCUUGGCAUACCGUGUGGGGCAGCACGUUGUCGAAGAGCCUGUUGA
RNAcentral lists this ribosomal RNA (453 nucleotides) under Triticum aestivum (bread wheat). RNAcentral's name for it is "partial small subunit ribosomal RNA". Lineage: Eukaryota; Viridiplantae; Streptophyta; Magnoliopsida; Poales; Poaceae. The record is from RNAcentral.